RNAcentral lists this ribosomal RNA (118 nucleotides) under Brassica oleracea var. oleracea. The record is from RNAcentral. Lineage: Eukaryota; Viridiplantae; Streptophyta; Magnoliopsida; Brassicales; Brassicaceae.
GGGUGCGAUCAUACCAGCACUAAUGCACCGGAUCCCAUCAUAACUCUGCAGUUAAGCGUGCCUGGGCGAGAGUAGUACUAGGAUGGAUGAUCUCCCGGGAAGUCCUCUGUUUUACCCC